Molecule: antisense RNA, 192 nt
Filed under: Enterobacter kobei
Lineage: Bacteria; Pseudomonadati; Pseudomonadota; Gammaproteobacteria; Enterobacterales; Enterobacteriaceae
Description: Yersinia sRNA 251
Rfam family: Yersinia sRNA 251
About the family: Antisense to phoH gene. Trimmed on 5'end from the original size.
Source: RNAcentral
GUACGCUUUCAGUGUGCGCUGGCAGAGGGCCGAGCGGACGCAAUCGUCGGUAGUAAAGCGGACGAUACCGACCAUUUCAUCUUCCUCAAAACGUGCCAGCGCAUCGCUCAGGCCGGACUUAACGCCCGACGGCAAAUCACACUGGGUAAUAUCACCGUUAACGAUGACGGUCACGUUUUCCCCGAGGCGCGU